GCCUUUGUGGUGUAGUGGUCAGCACGCUGGACGCGUAUUCGAGAGGUCUGUGGUUAGAGUCCCGGAGAGGGCA
Molecule: non-coding RNA, 73 nt
Organism: Stegodyphus mimosarum
Lineage: Eukaryota; Metazoa; Arthropoda; Arachnida; Araneae; Eresidae
Source: Rfam